CCUACGGGUGGCAGCAGUGGGGAAUAUUGCACAAUGGGGGAAACCCUGAUGCAGCGACGCCGCGUGAGUGAAGAAGUAUUUCGGUAUGUAAAGCUCUAUCAGCAGGGAAGAAAAUGACGGUACCUGACUAAGAAGCCCCGGCUAACUACGUGCCAGCAGCCGCGGUAAUACGUAGGGGGCAAGCGUUAUCCGGAUUUACUGGGUGUAAAGGGAGCGUAGAUGGAUUGGAAAGCCAGAGGUGAAAGGCUGGGGCUCAACCUCAGGACUGCAUUUGGAACUGUCAGGCUAGAGUGCCGGAGGGGUAAGCGGAAUUCCUAGUGUAGCGGUGAAAUGCGUAGAUAUUAGGAGGAACACCGGUGGCGAAGGCGGCUUACUGGACGGAAACUGACAUUGAGGCUCGAAAGCGUGGGGAGCAAACAGGAUUAGAUACCCGAGUAGUC
This 440-nucleotide ribosomal RNA is filed under the name uncultured bacterium. RNAcentral's name for it is "partial 16S ribosomal RNA". It matches the Rfam family "Bacterial small subunit ribosomal RNA", at positions 338 to 795 of the family's 1533-position model. The record is from RNAcentral.